UCCCGGGUCGUCUAAUGGCAGGACGCGGGGUUUUGGUCCCCGUUGUAGGGGUUCGAGUCCUCUCCCGGGAGCCC
This 74-nucleotide transfer RNA is filed under the name Actinobacteria bacterium 13_1_20CM_3_71_11. RNAcentral's name for it is "tRNA-Gln". It matches the Rfam family "tRNA". Rfam says of the family: Transfer RNA (tRNA) molecules are approximately 80 nucleotides in length. Lineage: Bacteria; Bacillati; Actinomycetota. The record is from RNAcentral.